GAUGAACGCUGGCGGCGUGCCUAAUACAUGCAAGUCGAGCGAACAGAUAAGGAGCUUGCUCCUUUGACGUUAGCGGCGGACGGGUGAGUAACACGUGGGUAACCUACCUAUAAGACUGGAAUAACUCCGGGAAACCGGGGCUAAUGCCGGAUAACAUUUAGAACCGCAUGGUUCUAAAGUGAAAGAUGGUUUUGCUAUCACUUAUAGAUGGACCCGCGCCGUAUUAGCUAGUUGGUAAGGUAACGGCUUACCAAGGCAACGAUACGUAGCCGACCUGAGAGGGUGAUCGGCCACACUGGAACUGAGACACGGUCCAGACUCCUACGGGAGGCAGCAGUAGGGAGUCUUCCGCAAUGGGCGAAAGCCUGACGGAGCAACGCCGCGUGAGUGAUGAAGGUCUUCGGAUCGUAAAACUCUGUUAUUAGGGAAGAACAAAUGUGUAAGUAACUGUGCACGUCUUGACGGUACCUAAUCAGAAAGCCACGGCUAACUACGUG
This 497-nucleotide ribosomal RNA is filed under the name uncultured bacterium. Its description in RNAcentral is "partial 16S ribosomal RNA". It matches the Rfam family "Bacterial small subunit ribosomal RNA", at positions 28 to 507 of the family's 1533-position model. The record is from RNAcentral.